RNAcentral lists this ribosomal RNA (762 nucleotides) under beta proteobacterium 12-10. Its description in RNAcentral is "bacterial SSU rRNA". It matches the Rfam family "Bacterial small subunit ribosomal RNA", at positions 58 to 818 of the family's 1533-position model. RNAcentral also lists the same sequence under 1 other name. The record is from RNAcentral. Lineage: Bacteria; Pseudomonadati; Pseudomonadota; Betaproteobacteria.
CAGGUCGGCGGCAGCGCGGGGCAACCUGGCGGCGAGUGGCGAACGGGUGAGUAAUAUAUCGGAACGUACCCAAGAGUGGGGGAUAACGUAGCGAAAGUUACGCUAAUACCGCAUACGAUCCAAGGAUGAAAGCAGGGGAUCUUCGGACCUUGUGCUCCUGGAGCGGCCGAUAUCUGAUUAGCUAGUUGGUGAGGUAAAGGCUCACCAAGGCCACGAUCAGUAGCUGGUCUGAGAGGACGACCAGCCACACUGGAACUGAGACACGGUCCAGACUCCUACGGGAGGCAGCAGUGGGGAAUUUUGGACAAUGGGCGAAAGCCUGAUCCAGCAAUGCCGCGUGAGUGAAGAAGGCCUUCGGGUUGUAAAGCUCUUUUGUCAGGGAAGAAACGGUUUGGGCUAAUAUCCUGAGCUAAUGACGGUACCUGAAGAAUAAGCACCGGCUAACUACGUGCCAGCAGCCGCGGUAAUACGUAGGGUGCAAGCGUUAAUCGGAAUUACUGGGCGUAAAGCGUGCGCAGGCGGUUUUGUAAGUCUGACGUGAAAUCCCCGGGCUCAACCUGGGAAUUGCGUUGGAGACUGCAAGGCUAGAAUCUGGCAGAGGGGGGUAGAAUUCCACGUGUAGCAGUGAAAUGCGUAGAGAUGUGGAGGAACACCGAUGGCGAAGGCAGCCCCCUGGGUCAAGAUUGACGCUCAUGCACGAAAGCGUGGGGAGCAAACAGGAUUAGAUACCCUGGUAGUCCACGCCCUAAACGAUGUCUACUA